GCGCCGCUAGCUCAGUUGGUUAGAGCAGCUGACUCUUAAUCAGCGGGUCCGGGGUUCGAGUCCCUGGCGGCGUAC
RNAcentral lists this transfer RNA (75 nucleotides) under Streptomyces albus. RNAcentral's name for it is "tRNA-Lys". It matches the Rfam family "tRNA". Rfam says of the family: Transfer RNA (tRNA) molecules are approximately 80 nucleotides in length. RNAcentral also lists the same sequence under 16 other names. Lineage: Bacteria; Bacillati; Actinomycetota; Actinomycetes; Kitasatosporales; Streptomycetaceae. The record is from RNAcentral.